GAUGCAGCAUGCCGCGUGUGUGAAGAAGGCCUUCGGGUUGUAAAGCUCUUUCAGUGGGGAAGAUAAUGCCGGUACCCACAGAAGAAGCUCCGGCUAACUCCGUGCCAGCAGCCGCGGUAAUACGGAGGGAGCGAGCGUUGUUCGGAAUUACUGGGCGUAAAGGGCACGUAGGCGGUUCGUUAAGUCCGAUGUGAAAGCCCUGGGCUUAACCUAGGAAUGGCUUUUGAUACUGGCGCACUGGAGUGCGGGAGAGGAAGGUGGAAUUCCCCGUGUAGAGGUGAAAUUCGUAGAUAUCGGGAGGAACACCAGAGGCGAAGGCGACUUCCUGGACCGGUACUGACGCUGAGGCGCGAAAGCGUGGGGAGCAAACAGGAUUAGAUACCCUGGUAGUCCACGCUGUAAACGAUGAGUGCUGGCCGUUGGACCCAUUCACCCCUUUGGUGGCGAAGCUAACGCGAUAAGUCCUCCGCCUGGGGAGUACGGCCGCAAGGUUAAAACUCAAAUG
This 505-nucleotide ribosomal RNA is filed under the name uncultured Fodinicurvata sp. Its description in RNAcentral is "bacterial SSU rRNA". It matches the Rfam family "Bacterial small subunit ribosomal RNA", at positions 385 to 907 of the family's 1533-position model. The record is from RNAcentral. Lineage: Bacteria; Pseudomonadati; Pseudomonadota; Alphaproteobacteria; Rhodospirillales; Rhodovibrionaceae.